Molecule: transfer RNA, 33 nt
Filed under: Balaena mysticetus (bowhead whale)
Lineage: Eukaryota; Metazoa; Chordata; Mammalia; Artiodactyla; Balaenidae
Description: partial tRNA-Gly
Source: RNAcentral
UCAGUUAGUUUCGGUAUACCCCGAAAAAGAACA